RNAcentral lists this ribosomal RNA (396 nucleotides) under uncultured bacterium. RNAcentral describes it as "bacterial SSU rRNA". It matches the Rfam family "Bacterial small subunit ribosomal RNA", at positions 355 to 767 of the family's 1533-position model. The record is from RNAcentral.
UAGGGAAUAUUGGUUAAUGGGCGAAAGCCUGACCCAGCAACGCCGCGUGCGCGAUGAAGGCCUUCGGGUUGUAAAGCGCUUUUAAGUGGGAUGAGGAAGGACAGUACCACUAGAAUAAGUCUCGGCUAACUACGUGCCAGCAGCCGCGGUAACACGUAGGAGACGAGCGUUAUCCGGAUUUACUGGGUGUAAAGCGCGUGCAGGCGGUAUGGAAAGUUGGAUGUGAAAGCUCCCGGCUUAACUGGGAGAGGUCGUUCAAAACUACCAAACUAGAGUACAGCAGAGGGGAGUGGAAUUCCGAGUGUAGCGGUAAAAUGCAUAGAUAUUCGGAAGAACACCAGUGUCGAAGGCGGCUCCCUGGGCUGAAACUGACGCUCAGACGCGAAAGCUAGGGUA